Molecule: non-coding RNA, 126 nt
Organism: Triticum aestivum (bread wheat)
Lineage: Eukaryota; Viridiplantae; Streptophyta; Magnoliopsida; Poales; Poaceae
Source: Rfam
UUAAUACUCCCUCCGUCCGGAAAUACUUGUCCUAGAAAUGGAUGUAUCUAGACUUAUUUUAGUUAUAGAUACAUCCAAUUUAUCCAUUCUGAGAACAAAUAUUUCCCGCUGGAGAGGGAGUACCUA